AGGAUGAACGCUAGCUACAGGCUUAACACAUGCAAGUCGAGGGGUAACAUGAUUGGAGCUUGCUCCGAUUGAUGACGACCGGCGCACGGGUGAGUAACGCGUAUCCAACCUGCCCCAUGCUCAGGGAUAACCUUCCGAAAGGGAGCCUAAUACCUGAUGUUGUGCUUUGAUGGCAUCAGACGAGCACGAAAGAUUCAUCGGCAUGGGAUGGGGAUGCGUCUGAUUAGCUUGUUGGCGGGGUAACGGCCCACCAAGGCUACGAUCAGUAGGGGUUCUGAGAGGAAGGUCCCCCCACACUGGUACUGAGACACGGACCAGACUCCUACGGGAGGCAGCAGUGAGGAAUAUUGGUCAAUGGGCGGGAGCCUGAACCAGCCAAGUAGCGUGCAGGACGACGGCCCUACGGGUUGUAAACUGCUUUUAUGAGGGGAUAAAGUGGGCUACGUGUAGCUUAUUGCAGGUACCUCAUGAAUAAGGACCGGCUAAUUCCGUGCCAGCCGCGGC
Molecule: ribosomal RNA, 504 nt
Filed under: uncultured bacterium
Lineage: Bacteria
Description: bacterial SSU rRNA
Rfam family: Bacterial small subunit ribosomal RNA
Source: RNAcentral